GUAGGCUAUGGAGACAUGGUUCCAACUACCAUUGGGGGAAAGAUAGUGGGAUCCCUGUGUGCAAUUGCAGGUGUGUUAACUAUUGCCUUACCAGUCCCUGUCAUAGUGUCUAAU
Molecule: non-coding RNA, 114 nt
Organism: Mesocricetus auratus (golden hamster)
Lineage: Eukaryota; Metazoa; Chordata; Mammalia; Rodentia; Cricetidae
Source: Rfam